UGCUGAGAUAGCCCCCCCCCCUUACUGUCCUUUCGCAUCCAGGGAGGAAAGGAUUUAAAAGGGGGUGGAGUGGGGGCUCUGAGCAAAUUGACAUUUCAGCCAAUGAAGCAAUGAAGGCCGAGGAAAAGAAACCAGUGGAGUGCUGCCCCCAAAACUAUGAGGGAAUCAGUGGAGUUGGAGAAAGCACACAGUGACUGAGUCUAUGCUGCUAACUGGAGAUGGAUCCAAAACUCUUGCCCAGUUCAUCAUCUCCCAUGGACCAGGUGAGUGCGAUGGUGGGAAAAUGGCCUUGCGGGCCAAAGUUAAGCAGACCGCUGGGGAGGUUUACUUUGACCCACAAAUUGGAGGAUCCCUGUUUGGUUGCCUGGGAUUUGCAGCCGUUUGUGCCACAACGCCUGGGUUCCGGUGUCCCUGGAGACACCAGAGAAUUCAAACGCGAUGCUUCAGAAGCAAAGUAGUUAUGGCAGUUGAGGUGAAGAGGUUCAGUUGAAGCAGCUUCAGAAGCAGGUUCAGGAGAACUAGGACGAUGAUAAGAAUGCUGUACUAUGCUGUACUUUUCUGAAUGGAUCCAAUUGUGGCUGCCAAAACACUCUCCACACUGCCAUCUACUGGGCCAGGGAUCCGUAGUUGAGAAACACUCUCCAAAUGUUGGAACCCACGGAGCAACUGGGAUUCAGAAGCAAUUCUGCCUUGGACCAUGGAGGGCAGAGCAAAGCGAUUGUGACUGGCAGCUAUGGACAGACUUUAUCUUCCAUGAAUUUGCCCAAUCCUCUUUUAAAGCCACCCGAGUUGCUGGCCAUCUCUGAUUCCUGUGGAAGGGAGUUCCAUAGGUUUGUUUUUUUUAA
Non-coding RNA from Podarcis muralis (Common wall lizard), 845 nucleotides. Lineage: Eukaryota; Metazoa; Chordata; Lepidosauria; Squamata; Lacertidae. The record is from RefSeq and is a predicted model, not a curated record.